Molecule: small RNA, 171 nt
Filed under: Clostridiales bacterium KLE1615
Lineage: Bacteria; Bacillati; Bacillota; Clostridia; Eubacteriales
Description: Clostridiales-1 RNA
Rfam family: Clostridiales-1 RNA
Source: Rfam by way of RNAcentral
AGACACCAGGGUCAAAAAGCCAUGUUUUUCUCGUGCUUGCACGAGAAAAAACAUGGCUUUGGGACCCACCAAAUCAUGAGGAUGCAGCGAUUUCCAAAGGAAAUCAGCGAAUCCUCAUGAUUUGCAGAAUUGCGAGAGCUGCAAAGCAGCGAAGCAAUUCGUGAGGUGUCG